Scylla paramamosain (green mud crab) is the source of this 1788-nucleotide long non-coding RNA. RefSeq lists it as uncharacterized. The transcript is spliced from 2 exons. Lineage: Eukaryota; Metazoa; Arthropoda; Malacostraca; Decapoda; Portunidae. The record is from RefSeq and is a predicted model, not a curated record.
UCUCUUCCAUUCAGCUUACACUCUUGUACCAGCAUGCUAUGGUCCGAGACAACGUCAACCAUUUCAUCCUCAUCUAUCCACAUACGGGCCACAAUCUCAUGCAUUCUGCCAUUCACUAGCAUUUAGUCAAUCGCAGACUCCUAGCACACCAAGUCACUCGUCCUUCUGCCAGGGUCUCAUUCAGGUUUUCAAGAUCCAUCUCAUUCACAUACUUAUCAAGCAUCAGAGAUAGAAAGAUGAUGAUGUAGUGGAAACCAACAGAACAGCAUGGAAGAUGGGGGCAUAAACGAUGAUGUUGAAUACAGUAGAGCUGAAAUAUCUGUUGGUGAGACGGUGGAGCAUGUGGUGCUGGAGUGUGUGAAGUAUACUAGAGACAUAUAAGAUGAUGCAAGUGGUGCUAAAGGAAUCGGGGAACGUCAGCGUGGAGAGACAAAAAGGGAAUGGAUGGUGCUGUUGCUGGGACUGUGUGGAGAGAUGAAUGAAAGGAUGAUUGAGGCUGUGAAAGACUUCCUGGAGAAAAUGUGGCGUGCUAGAUGUAGGAACCAGCGGUGUGAUAGAUGCUGUAUGACUGUAUGCCUUUUUCUGUUGUCGUUCUUUUUUUUUUCCCCCUACAAGAGUGCCGAUGCAAAGGCACCAUCCUUCUUUUUCUUCUCAAUCAUUUCAUUCACCACAAACAUAUUGUCCUCAGCUCUCCUAUCCCCACGAAAACAAGAACUUCUUGGAAGGAGUCCUAAGCCACUUUUAAGAUCAAGAUCAAGCCACCUGUCUGUCUCUUUUUUUUUCCCCUUUCUACAGGAGUUGCCGAUCCAAAGGCCUGGCUCAGGAGUGAUCCUGUGCCACCUGUACCAUCAAGAUCAAGAAGAUCUUGAGUAUCAGAAUGCAUGGGCAGCGUAUGUGAAGCAGCAGCGGUUGACAAGACGAAUGAUAAUGAAUGCUAAAAUGAAGAGUGAAAGGAGUGUGAUUCAAUCUUUAAGGGAGAAAGGUAUAGAAGGUGGCUGUGAAUGGUACAAGUUCAUGAGAGGUAAGAAUAUUAAAAUUAAAAUAAAAUUCAAUAAAUAUAUGCAGUAAAAUAAAACUGAGCAAAAUAAAAAAAAAAGAAAAAGGUAUAGAAAAUUCAUAAAUAAGGCAAAAAAAAAAAAAAUGGAAUACUUAGUGGACUUCAAUAAAUAAAAUAGAAUGAAAAAGCAAUAAAAUCAAAUAAAAAAAAGCAAGACAAAAAAAAUAAAUAAAUAAAUAAAUAGUAUAAAAAAAAACAUCAGCGUGUACUUACCUGGAGACAUAACAAGGUCCUGGAGCUGUCCUACAAGCGCUCCAACACCUUUGUCCACUAGAUUCCCAACACAAAAACACCCCCAAACCCGACUCCAAACAUCCUAAAACACAUGCAAACACACACAAAACACCCCAAUACACACAUAAAAAAUCCCUAUCUUUGGGUAAGACUGACAACACUGACACACCACACACUGAGACAGCGAGAUCACAACCCCUCAGGUACCUCCUUGCUGCUAGGUGAACAGGGACUACACAUUUGCCUCGCUGCGCCCAGGAUUUGAACCCGGGCCUUCUUGCUUUCCAGCCAAACGUGCUAACCACUACAGAGUUGCCGAUCCAAAGGCCUGGCUCAAGAGUUAUCCUGUGCCACAUGUACCAUCAAGAUCAAGAUCAAGAUAUGUACUCUGAAGAUCAAGAUCAACUGACAAGCUCGACACGCAAGAAUCGCGAGAUCUACCAAAAAUAAAAAAUAAAUUAAAUUAAAUUAAAGGACAUCAGGAACAGCGAUACCAA